This 255-nucleotide ribosomal RNA is filed under the name uncultured bacterium. RNAcentral describes it as "partial 16S ribosomal RNA". It matches the Rfam family "Bacterial small subunit ribosomal RNA", at positions 524 to 778 of the family's 1533-position model. The record is from RNAcentral.
UACGGAGGGUGCAAGCGUUUGUCCGGAAUCACUGGGCGUAAAGGGCGCGUAGGCGGCUCAUGAAGGCUGUGGUGAAAGUCCGGGGCUCAACCUCGGAUCGGCCGUGGCGACUCGUGGGCUGGAGCACUGUAGAGGCGGGUGGAAUUCCGGGUGUAGCGGUGGAAUGCGUAGAGAUCCGGAAGAACACCAGUGGCGAAGGCGGCCCGCUGGGCAGUGGCUGACGCUGAGGCGCGCAGCGUGGGGAGCAAACAGGAU